GUUUCUGUAGUGUAGUGGUUAUCACGUUCGCCUCACACGCGAAAGGUCCCCAGUUCGGAACUGGGCGGAAACA
This is a non-coding RNA of Danio rerio (zebrafish), 73 nucleotides long. The record is from Rfam. Lineage: Eukaryota; Metazoa; Chordata; Actinopteri; Cypriniformes; Danionidae.